Molecule: long non-coding RNA, 329 nt
Organism: Syzygium oleosum
Lineage: Eukaryota; Viridiplantae; Streptophyta; Magnoliopsida; Myrtales; Myrtaceae
Exons: 2
Source: RefSeq, a predicted model, not a curated record
CUUCCUUUGGCUAAAAAUUAAGCAUUUACGUAUCGGAAAGGUUUUCAAACGUGAAAGGAUUUGCCACAGGCCUAUUAUUCGUGGAGCUCAUUCAUGCAAUUAGCUUAAAACAGGAUGAUGAUUGACAUGCCAUUUUGUGGACUCCAAAUCAGAUGAUAUAUUCGAAGGAUGAUGCUGGCGCAAGAUCUUUCGUCCUUUAUUCGAUGAAGUAUGCUGAAACAGAACAUAGAGCCGAUUUUAUCAGGUGUUCCUGAUCAUCAGGUAGACGAUGAUCGAUGUCUAGAGUAUGAUGUACCGUUUCAAUUUGAUUUCCAAAAUGGCAAUCCUAA